GCCAUUAGGAGGAUCCACCAUCAUCGCCAUUUUCAACUGAGGAAAGGGAAGAUACAGUUAGCAUUCUAGAAGAGGAGAUAACCCAAGUCCAACAACAGGAAAAAGUUACUAUUUUCUACUCUGAACUUGACACUUCUACCAUGUGCUCUGUUGUGUACCGGAGGCACACGGCACACGGCACACACCCCUUCCCCCAAUCCCAGCGUUGGAGCAACAAUUCACCGCCGAAUCGGACUCAAUUCCCCGCAUUCCGACGCAAAUCCUCCUGCCCUGCCAUGCUACCUAACGCGAGCAUCCUAGCGGCUGCCGGAAGCAGCCCAAUUCGCCGGAAAAUACAGCAAGUGGACCGCUUUUACUACGCAUCGCAAAAAGAAGAAGGGGCUUUCGUCCCCUUGAGCUCCCGAAGGGGAUCGAUCGACUCACCAGUACGCGGGCACGCGGCGCCGACUGGCCUCGCCUUGGCAGCAGCAGCAGCAGAUCUGAAGAGGCCGAACCGGAGAGCAAGCGGAUGAAGCAGCCCGGGGAAAGGAAGGGGAAGCGCGAGGGCAUAGAGAGAGUGCGAC
Molecule: long non-coding RNA, 563 nt
Organism: Brachypodium distachyon (stiff brome)
Lineage: Eukaryota; Viridiplantae; Streptophyta; Magnoliopsida; Poales; Poaceae
Exons: 2
Source: RefSeq, a predicted model, not a curated record